GUCACUCGAAUAUGUACAUAACAGCAAUUGUAUAUUAACACGCGCAUAAAGCAUUCUAUUGAAUAUUAAAGGCUGUUGGAGUCGACUAUUGUUUGAGGUUAACAGAAGUCUAUGAUUGUGGAAACAAAAGAUGGCAGCCAGUAAAUAUAACUAACUAAACUAUGUCAGAAUUGUUGGUUGGUUUUUAAGGCUGGCUCGUUUAAUGGCUACUCGACCUUGAUGGAAAAUAGUCAGCUAACGAAGUCUUGGUGAAUCAAAUAAGAGGGUAAAUGGGCUGAGGUCAGCAUGAUGGACAGCAGUGUUGAAUUUAUACCCCAAGCCCAAGGUCAAGCCUUAGUUAAGGCCACAAUUUUAGUUGCAGCUAAAUUUAUUAAUUCUCAAAAAUCAACUAUUAUUCAAAUACUCGGAUGGACUAUUAACUGACUUCAGAAUACAUUAUAUACAAUAGGAUUGCUCAACUAUCAUGUUUAAUCACAUCAUGAGCGAAAAGAAAUAGUAGCAGAGAGAUUAGAGAAGAAGAAGAAGCCAAUAAGCAAUAUGAGCUGAACUUCGUAUACUAUACUACAAACUACCAUAAUAACUACGUCUCAAUUCUAAAUUUAUUGGUACCGGCCGCUUAUAUGAAUUCUCACAGUUUCAUGAUAAUUAAAAAAAAAGGCUAAAAGGUUAGCCGGUCAAUAAGAUCUUUGAGAUUGAUGAGCCAACUAAAUUGGUUUGGCUAUUCUUUUCUAUUGAAAAGAAGUCACGUGUUUGCGCGAGUCGCCUUCUUCUAGGCUCCAUUGGACAACAACUUUUAUCCCAAGAAAACUCUCUGCAUCUUAAAAUCCAACAUAGGGAGUUGGAAGAAUGGAUUGUGUUGAAGGGGAUGACGGAGAAUUAGAAUUGUCUUUAGAAAUAACAAUACCAACUGUAUCUACAACCACAGCCACAAACUCUAUCGCCAUUUUCACCAUCUCUAUGCAUAUCUCUAACCUCUGAAUCACCAUUAUCAAGUCUCCGCGUAUUUUUCUUGGUAUAAUAAACAGGCUUUUCUCUUUAUAUAUAUAAGUACAAGAAACUCCUCCAAGUUUUUAGAAAACAAAGAAGCUUUUGUUAAUCUGGCCUUUGGAAAACCCCAAGGGACACAACAAGAAAAUUGGAAUAGUUUCAAACCUUGUGAAUGAGACACUUUGGCAACCUUAUCCAUUUAUUGCAUGGCCAUUAAAAUAAGAAAUUAAUUGACCAUUGUGGCCAUCGCAAGGACACGAGACAAGUGGCCUUUCUUUUAUUGCAUGUAGUAGCCAUACACGCAUCAACGUUUUGGGAUUUCUUAAUAUGUAACUUAAUAUGCCUUUGAUUUGUGAUUAAUUAGGAAUGGGUUCGUUCACUUUGUGGAAUAUUCCAUUAGUUUGAUUUUGCUUACAAGAAUAAUUCCCUACCUAAUCUUAAACUUUAAUCUGCUUGUUGCCAUUAAAUAGUGGGAAAAAUGAUACUGUAUAGUCGUUAUAGAAAUAAUAACCGAAAAUAUAUAUAUAUAUAUAUAUAUAUAUAUAUAUAUAGAUAUAUAUAUGCACUCUUUGUUAAUCUGGCCUUUGGAAAACCCCAAGGGACACAACAAGAAAAUUGGAAUAGUUUCAAACCUUGUGAAUG
Molecule: long non-coding RNA, 1629 nt
Filed under: Nicotiana benthamiana
Lineage: Eukaryota; Viridiplantae; Streptophyta; Magnoliopsida; Solanales; Solanaceae
Description: long non-coding RNA (NBEN_LNC033498)
Source: RNAcentral